Molecule: long non-coding RNA, 272 nt
Filed under: Apteryx rowi (Okarito brown kiwi)
Lineage: Eukaryota; Metazoa; Chordata; Aves; Apterygiformes; Apterygidae
Description: lncRNA (ENSARWG00000011539.1)
Source: RNAcentral
AUGGAUGGACACCAUGUGAAAAGUAGAGAGGAGAUGAUCAGUUGCCCAAGGCCACUCAGUGGCACCAGGAGAAAAUACUUUUUACUGUCUUCUGCAGUCAACAAGGAAAAAAGGCUUUGAAGACUAUGCUACAAGCAUUUCAGCUUCUUUCCCCUGAGACUGAAGUAUCAUAGCAAUUGAAGAUGUCAAUUACUUUUAAAGCAAGCUGUUUAUAGACCAUUAUUCCCAAGGCUUUAUUUGCUUGCUUCCUUUCGCAAGUGAGAUGGUGGAGA